RNAcentral lists this ribosomal RNA (395 nucleotides) under uncultured bacterium. Its description in RNAcentral is "partial 16S ribosomal RNA". It matches the Rfam family "Bacterial small subunit ribosomal RNA", at positions 361 to 774 of the family's 1533-position model. The record is from RNAcentral.
AUAUUGGUCAAUGGGGGGAACCCUGAACCAGCGACACCGCGUGAGGGAAGAAGGUUUUCGGAUUGUAAACCUCUGUUGUCGGGGAAGAUAAUGACGGUACCCGAUGAGGAAGCCACGGCUAACUACGUGCCAGCAGCCGCGGUAAUACGUAGGGGGCGAGCGUUGUCCGGAAUUAUUGGGCGUAAAGGGUUCGCAGGCGGCCUUUUAAGUCAGAUGUGAAAGCCCACGGCUUAACCGUGGUAAGCAUUUGAAACUGGAAGGCUUGAGUUAAGGAGAGGAAAGUGGAAUUCCUAGUGUAGCGGUGAAAUGCGUAGAUAUUAGGAGGAAUACCAGUGGCGAAGGCGACUUUCUGGACUUAUACUGACGCUGAGGAACGAAAGCGUGGGGAGCAAACA